Molecule: ribosomal RNA, 424 nt
Filed under: uncultured bacterium
Lineage: Bacteria
Description: bacterial SSU rRNA
Rfam family: Bacterial small subunit ribosomal RNA
Source: RNAcentral
CGCCAGCAGCCGCGGUAAUACGUAGGGCGCAAGCGUUAUCCGGAAUUAUUGGGCGUAAAGAGCUCGUAGGCGGUUUGUCGCGUCUGCCGUGAAAGUCCGGGGCUCAACUCCGGAUCUGCGGUGGGUACGGGCAGACUAGAGUGAUGUAGGGGAGACUGGAAUUCCUGGUGUAGCGGUGAAAUGCGCAGAUAUCAGGAGGAACACCGAUGGCGAAGGCAGGUCUCUGGGCAUUAACUGACGCUGAGGAGCGAAAGCAUGGGGAGCGAACAGGAUUAGAUACCCUGGUAGUCCAUGCCGUAAACGUUGGGCACUAGGUGUGGGGGACAUUCCACGUUUUCCGCGCCGUAGCUAACGCAUUAAGUGCCCCGCCUGGGGAGUACGGCCGCAAGGCUAAAACUCAAAGGAAUUGACGGGGGCCCGCACA